Molecule: ribosomal RNA, 485 nt
Filed under: uncultured bacterium
Lineage: Bacteria
Description: SSU rRNA
Rfam family: Bacterial small subunit ribosomal RNA
Source: RNAcentral
AGAAUGAACGCUGGCGGCGUGCUUAACACAUGCAAGUCGAACGGAAUCCAAGGAGCUUGCUCUGGAAGAUUUAGUGGCGAACGGGUGAGUAUCACGUGAGCAACCUGCCCCGAAGACUGGGAUAACACCGGGAAACCGGUGCUAAUACCGGAUGUCUUUCAAUGAUCGCAUGAUCGAUGAAAGAAAUGUUUUUUCGCUUUGGGAGGGCUCGCGGUCCAUCAGCUUGUUGGCGGGGUAACGGCCCACCAAGGCAACGACGGAUAGCUGGUCUGAGAGGACGAUCAGCCACACUGGAACUGAGACACGGUCCAGACUCCUACGGGAGGCAGCAGUGGGGAAUCUUGCGCAAUGGACGAAAGUCUGACGCAGCAACGCCGCGUGAGGGACGAAGGGUUUUCUGAAUUGUAAACCUCUUUCGACAGGAACGAUUGUGACGGUACCUGUAGAAGAAGCACCGGCCAACUAUGUGCCAGCAGCCGCGGUAA